AACGUAGGUGGCGAGCGUUAUCCGGAUUUACUGGGCGUAAAGCGUGUGCAGGCGGGGGGACCAGUGGGGUUUGAAAUUUCCCGGCUUAACCGGGAAGGGUUAUGCCAGACUGUCUUUCUGGAGUGCGAGAGAGGGGCGUGGAAUUCCGGUGGAGCGGUGAAAUGCAUUGAGAUCGGAAAGAACACCAACGGCGAAAGCACUCUGCUGGGCCGACACUGACACUGAGAGACGAAAGCUAGGGGAGCAAAUGGG
Molecule: ribosomal RNA, 252 nt
Filed under: uncultured bacterium
Lineage: Bacteria
Description: partial 16S ribosomal RNA
Rfam family: Bacterial small subunit ribosomal RNA
Source: RNAcentral